RNAcentral lists this ribosomal RNA (390 nucleotides) under Architectonicidae sp. H39. RNAcentral's name for it is "partial 16S ribosomal RNA". Lineage: Eukaryota; Metazoa; Mollusca; Gastropoda; Architectonicidae. The record is from RNAcentral.
CGCUUGGUGGUCUUAUGCUAAGUAAAUUCUGCUCGGUGAAAAUGAUUUAACAGCAGCGGUAUCUUGACCGUUCAAAGGUAGCAUAAUAAGUUUAGUAAUUGUAAACCUGUCAAUGGGACCAUGGGUUUAUUUAAAUAAGAACUUAAUUAUUAUUGAAAUUAACUAAAAAGUAAAAAUUCUUUUUCUUUUUUAAAAGACGAUAAGACCCUAGAACUUUUUUAAAAAAUUUAGGUGGGGAAUCUUUGAUUAUUUAACAAUCAACAGUAAAAGUACUCUAGGGAUAACAGCUUCAUUUUAAAGAGCCUUUAAAGUUUGAGACCUCGAUGUUGAAUUAAGGACAUUGGUUUUUCAAAAGAAAGCUAAUUUAGGUCUGUUCGACCUUAGCCCCUU